AAAAAUUUCCAUUGAAGUAAAGGUUUAGUAUCUGUAUUCAUUUCCUAGGGCUGUCAUAAAAAAUUACCACAAACCUAGAGGCUCCAAACAACAGAAAUUUAUCAUCUCACAGUUCGAGAGGCCAGAUGUCCAAACUCAAGGGAACAGAUGCUUCUGGGUACAGAGGAUCUCGGCAGUGAAGCCAGAGUGACUUCCUGUGUGCCUCUAGUAGAACUGUCAGCUUUAUGCUUGAAAAGCAAGAAAUUAGAACUCCUUGUCCACUUCAGGCCUGUUGAAACCACCAACUCAUCAACUCGGCCCAUGCAGAUGUCCAAUAGGCGACCUUUUGACAUCAAGAGGCUAAAAACUCCAUCCUCAGAUCAUGCUAAUGCUGCCAUUUUGUG
RNAcentral lists this long non-coding RNA (383 nucleotides) under Equus caballus (horse). RNAcentral's name for it is "lncRNA (ENSECAG00000036070.2)". Lineage: Eukaryota; Metazoa; Chordata; Mammalia; Perissodactyla; Equidae. The record is from RNAcentral.